Molecule: ribosomal RNA, 419 nt
Filed under: uncultured bacterium
Lineage: Bacteria
Description: bacterial SSU rRNA
Rfam family: Bacterial small subunit ribosomal RNA
Source: RNAcentral
GAAUAUUGGUCAAUGGACGAAAGUCUGAACCAGCCAUGCCGCGUGAAGGAUGAAGGUCCUCUGGAUUGUAAACUUCUUUUAUCUGGGACGAAAAAAGGUUAUUCUUAACCACUUGACGGUACCAGAGGAAUAAGCACCGGCUAACUCCGUGCCAGCAGCCGCGGUAAUACGGAGGGUGCAAGCGUUAUCCGGAUUCACUGGGUUUAAAGGGUGCGUAGGUGGAUUAGUAAGUCUGUGGUGAAAUCUCCGAGCUUAACUCGGAAACUGCCGUGGAUACUAUUAGUCUUGAAUCUCCUGGAGGUAAGCGGAAUAUGUCAUGUAGCGGUGAAAUGCUUAGAUAUGACAUAGAACACCAAUUGCGAAGGCAGCUUACUACGGGAGUAUUGACACUGAGGCACGAAAGCGUGGGGAUCAAACAG